RNAcentral lists this ribosomal RNA (474 nucleotides) under uncultured bacterium. RNAcentral describes it as "bacterial SSU rRNA". It matches the Rfam family "Bacterial small subunit ribosomal RNA", at positions 30 to 514 of the family's 1533-position model. The record is from RNAcentral.
UGAACGCUAGCGGCAGGCCUAAUACAUGCAAGUCGAACGGUGUCUUCGGACAUAGUGGCGCACGGGUGCGUAACACGUAUGCAACCUACCUUACAUUGGGGGAUAGCCUUUCGAAAGGGAGAUUAAUACCGCAUAAGACAGUAACUGGGCAUCCAGUAGCUGUUAAAGAUUUAUCGAUGUAAGAUGGGCAUGCGUCCAAUUAGUUAGUUGGCGAGGUAAUGGCUCACCAAGACUUUGAUUGGUAGGGGAACUGAGAGGUCAAUCCCCCACACUGGCACUGAGAUACGGGCCAGACUCCUACGGGAGGCAGCAGUAGGGAAUAUUGGGCAAUGGACGCAAGUCUGACCCAGCCAUGCCGCGUGCAGGAUGAAGGCGUUAUGCGUUGUAAACUGCUUUUAUACAGGAAGAAACGACUCUUGCGAGAGGCAUUGACGGUACUGUAUGAAUAAGCACCGGCUAACUCCGUGCCAGGAG